This 204-nucleotide ribosomal RNA is filed under the name uncultured bacterium. RNAcentral describes it as "partial 16S ribosomal RNA". It matches the Rfam family "Bacterial small subunit ribosomal RNA", at positions 524 to 727 of the family's 1533-position model. The record is from RNAcentral.
UACGAAGGGUGCAAGCGUUACUCGGAAUUACUGGGCGUAAAGAGCUCGUAGGUGGUUUGUCGCGUUGUUCGUGAAAACUCACAGCUCAACCUGUGGGCGUGCGGGCGAUACGGGCAGACUGGAGUACUGCGGGGAGACUGGAAUUCCUGUGUAGCGGUGGAAUGCGCAGAUAUCGAGGAAGAACACCCGUGGCGAAGGCGGCUC